CAUUACAAGCUACUGGAACUUGAAAGGACCAUCAAUGCAGAUGUUUAUUGUCAACAGCUUGAUUGUGUAAAUGAAAAAUUACAUUGAAAGUGGCCAGCUUUGGUGAACAGAAAAGAUGUUAUUCUCCAGCAGUGUCAAUGCAUGGCCACAA
Molecule: long non-coding RNA, 151 nt
Organism: Octopus sinensis (East Asian common octopus)
Lineage: Eukaryota; Metazoa; Mollusca; Cephalopoda; Octopoda; Octopodidae
Exons: 3
Source: RefSeq, a predicted model, not a curated record